UUGCUGUUUUGAUCAUUGUGUUAGAAUUUUAAUUUAAAAGUUCUAACAUAGUGAUCUCUUCAGCUUGCUGUUAGCACCAAAAUGAUUACAAUCAGUCUUGGAAAUAUUUGAAAAUGAAAGAAUGCAGCAAGCAAAAAGAAAUUGAAACUGUCGGGUUUCUCAUUAUUUUUGGUACCUUUUUACCUUAUGUAAUCUAAAUAUUGAAGAAAGAAGCUGCUGCACAUCAGCCAAAUGGAAAGAAUGUAAGUUACGUUUGUUCCUCCAAAAAGAAAAAGUCGGUGCUAGUGACAGUUAAUCUGUAGAAUGCUUCUAUGGGGACAAAUGUAUGUGCCAACAGCUGCAACAAUCAUGAAAAUCUUUGUGGUAGAUUUUAAGCUCUCCUGUUUGAAAUGUAAAUGAAAGUUUGAUAAAUCAGAGAGCUCAAAGUGACUUUUCUAACCGGAACAAAGCUACCUCAAUAGUAUUGUUUAAUCCGCCAUUCGUCAUUUUAACCAGGUAAAAAGAAGAAACGUGAGGAGAAAAAAAAGAAAAAAUCAAAAGAUUUUGAUGAAAAGAAACCAAAACAUAAACGUCGAAGUACCAGUAAACACUCGGACUCUGAAGAAGACAGUAUCCCUAGUCUACUAGCAAACAAACCAGAACUCAGUAAAUUACUAGGCUUAUCAAGAUUACCAGAUUUAGAAGAACUGCAAAAGAAUUUGUCAGCAUAUUUGGAAACCUCAAAAUUGGAGAAAGAAGUUGCAGAAAAAGUAAAAAAGAAAUCCUCAGAAAAACGUUCGUCCAGCAACAGUAAACCAGUGAAAUCCAAGGCAGCAGUCUCACCCUCUCCAGAACCCAGAAGGGAUUACGAGCGAGAACAGCCAGAAAGUAGUUUUAAUGGAAAAUCUCGUAAGUAAAAUUUUUUUUUUGAAAUUUUGAAUGAACUGGUAAAAAAUAUUGGGUCAGCAGGUUUUCCCUUCCUGAGAAAAUUGACAGUUUUUCAUCCUCGAAACAUCAAACUUCAGACCUGAUUCAUUAUGCAUCUUGUGACUGCUUGACAGGAAUCCCAUUCCUAUCAUUAGUCUCAUUUCCUGUGUGUCAUUUUGUUCCUAUCUCUCAUUAAAAAUGGCGCUAGUGUCAGUCAGAGAUGAAUUUAA
RNAcentral lists this long non-coding RNA (1136 nucleotides) under Bemisia tabaci. RNAcentral's name for it is "lncRNA ENSASIAIIG013250". Lineage: Eukaryota; Metazoa; Arthropoda; Insecta; Hemiptera; Aleyrodidae. The record is from RNAcentral.